GCUCCAUUUCUUAACUAGAUAAAAAUUAAUUUUUUUUUUUUUUAUGUUUUUUUUUUUUGGUUGGUAUUUACUUAGCUAUUUAGAUACCAAUUGCUUUAACAUUUGGCAUCCAUCGUCUCUGUUUACAACUAGAACAAGCUGUGGUCCACAUCUCCGCAUCUCAAUCAGAAUAACCCAUGCUAAAUUUUGGUCCCGCGAGGUUGAUGUUGAAUUUUACAGAAAUUUUUCUGUUUUUAACUGAAAUACAUUAUUUUGGAAAAACAGAAGCAGACAUUUGAGUCAGUGCUUGGUGGAAUUAGAUACGACUGUCUCUAGGAGACAAGUUUUGAAAAUUUAAGUGUUUAAUUGAUCCUGUGGUCUUUUAUUUUUAUUGUAUGGUUUAUUUGGUAAAUGUAUAGUCAAAAUAGGUUUGAGACUGAUAUUGCUGAUCACUUUGUUCAUUUUGAGACAGAUUUCUCUAUUAUUUGGAAUGAACGUAAGGUGGCAUUUCAGUUAAAAAUGAACUUCAAAUGUGAAGCUUGUUUACGUUUCUCUAGAUAUAAGAGGAUGUGGUAUGAGUGCCAAUGACACAGCUCGCCUUCUAAGUCACAAUUUUUUAAAAAUAAAAACCAUUAUAGGUCAAAGUACGGUUUUCAACACAGAGUCUUGGUUCACACCAAACAAUAAGCUAUAAAGUGUCCCCAAAAUGACUAGUGUAAAACUAUUCAAACGGGAAAAACAACGGUCUAAUCUAUAUACAGAACGAGAAACACUAAUGAAUCACAUCAACAAACGACAACAAGGAACAUUAAAAGAUAACAAGACCUUUAAACAGACUUAUUAAGAAGGGAUAUAGUUACGAUACGGUUGUCAGGUCAUUCAAGUUUUCAUAUUUUGGCUUUAAUAUUGAUUCACUUAUAGGGUCUUUACAUCGAAAUUAAACACAUUUAUUACAAAACCAUUUGUUGGCAUGACACGGGUUAUGUUUUUCUCUUAAAUAUUUUAUGUGUAUAAUACUGAACCCCUAACGGAAGUUGCCUGGUAUUCCCAUGAUGAAGACAUACUCUUUCAAUCAGUUUAAUUGAGGUCUGGAGCUGGCAUGUCAGUAACUGCUAGUAGUCUGUAGUUAUUUAUGUAUUAUUGUCAUUUUGUUUAUUUUCUUUUGUUACCUCUUCUGACAUCGGACUCGGACUUCUCUUGAACUGAAUUUUACUGUGCAUAUGGUUAUGCGUUUACUUUUCUACAUUGGUCAGAGGUAUAGGGGAGGGUUGAGAUCUCAAAAACAUGUUUAACCCACCGUAUUUUUUCGCCUGUACCAAGUCAGGAGCCUCUGGCCUUUGUUAGUCUUGGAUUAUUUUUAAUUUUAUUUUUUUGUGUUUAAUUUGUUUAGCAUGAAGUCCAUUAUCACUAAACUAGUAUAUAUAUUUGUUUAGGGGCAAGCUGAAGGACGCCUCCGGAUGCGGAAGUUUCUCGCUGCAUUGAACACCUAUUGGUGACCUUCUGAUGUUGUCUGUUCUAUUGUCGGGUUGUUGUCUCUUUGACACAUUCCCCAUUUCCAUUCUCAAUUUUAGAAAAGGGUAUUGUCUAUUUAAAAAGAUAGGAGAUACAAAAUUAUUUUGUCUGAAGCUGUCAGGGAGAAUUAUAAAACCCUUGACAUUAAAUUAUCCAUAUUUUGAGUCAGAGACGGGAGAUCUUCCCAUAAUGCCCGCCCCUCCUCCCCCUCCAAAAAACAGUAAACAACACAACAAUCUUAUUGACUCGGUGUGCGCCUUUUCCUAAAUUCCUUUUUUUGUUGUUCUCCAGAUCCCACCUUUUAUGUCCCCUUGAUUUCACUACCCCAAUUUUUAUAAUCCUAUAUCCAACAUCCCCUUUUUGUAACCUCAACACCACCCCUCUAUAUAUUCCGAGGGCUACUUGCAAGAUUCAUUUUGAUCAAGAUGGAUUUUAUGCCCAAAAUUAUCAGCAUGGUAUGGAACAGGAUUAAAGUUU
This 1968-nucleotide long non-coding RNA is filed under the name Mytilus galloprovincialis (Mediterranean mussel). The record is from RNAcentral. Lineage: Eukaryota; Metazoa; Mollusca; Bivalvia; Mytilida; Mytilidae.